Molecule: ribosomal RNA, 513 nt
Filed under: uncultured Yersinia sp.
Lineage: Bacteria; Pseudomonadati; Pseudomonadota; Gammaproteobacteria; Enterobacterales; Yersiniaceae
Description: bacterial SSU rRNA
Rfam family: Bacterial small subunit ribosomal RNA
Source: RNAcentral
AUGGGCGCAAGCCUGAUGCAGCCAUGCCGCGUGUGUGAAGAAGGCCUUCGGGUUGUAAAGCACUUUCAGCGGGGAGGAAGGGGAUGGGAUUAAUAAUUUCAUUCAUUGACGUUACCCGCAGAAGAAGCACCGGCUAACUCCGUGCCAGCAGCCGCGGUAAUACGGAGGGUGCGAGCGUUAAUCGGAAUUACUGGGCGUAAAGCGUACGCAGGCGGUCUGUUAAGUCAGAUGUGAAAUCCCCGGGCUUAACCCGGGAACUGCAUUUGAAACUGGCAGGCUAGAGUCUCGUAGAGGGGGGUAGAAUUCCAGGUGUAGCGGUGAAAUGCGUAGAGAUCUGGAGGAAUACCGGUGGCGAAGGCGGCCCCCUGGACGAAGACUGACGCUCAGGUACGAAAGCGUGGGGAGCAAACAGGAUUAGAUACCCUGGUAGUCCACGCUGUAAACGAUGUCGAUUUGAAGGUUGUGGCCUUGAGCCGUGGCUUUCGGAGCUAACGCGUUAAAUCGACCGCCUGG